Dreissena polymorpha is the source of this 439-nucleotide long non-coding RNA. RefSeq lists it as uncharacterized. The transcript is spliced from 4 exons. The record is from RefSeq and is a predicted model, not a curated record. Lineage: Eukaryota; Metazoa; Mollusca; Bivalvia; Myida; Dreissenidae.
GUGAAACAGUAGAGGACAUACAUAGGUACAAUAGUAAGUGUUAUACAUAUGUGAAACAGUAGAGGACAUACAUAGGUAAAAUAGUAAGUGUUAUACAUAUGUGAAAUAGCGGAGGUCAUGCAUAGGUUAAAUAGUAAGUGUUUUUAUACAUAUGUGAAAUAGCGGAGGACAUACAUAGGUUAAAUAGUAAGUGUUUUUAUACAUAUGUGAAAUAGCGGAGGACAUACAUAGGUUAAAUAGUAAGUGUUUUUAUACAUAUGUGAAAUAGCGGAGGACAUACAUAGGUUAAAUAGUAAGUGUUUUUAUACAUAUGUGAAAUAGCGGAGGACAUACAUAGGUACAAUAGUAAGUGUUAUACAUAUGUGAAAUAGCGGAGGUCAUGCAUAGGUUAAAUAGUAAGUGUUUUUAUACAUAUGUGAAAUAGUGGAGGACAUACAUA